CGCCUUGCCAGCCCGCUCAGAAACUCAAAGGAAUUGACGGGGGCCCGCACAAGCGGAGGAGCAUGUGGUUUUAAUUCGAUGAUACGCGAGGAACCUUACCUGGGCUCGAACGUAAGAUGACUGUAGGUGAAAGCUUACAUCUCUUCGGAGCAUUUUACGAGGUGCUGCAUGGUUGUCGUCAGCUCGUGCCGUGAGGUGUCGGGUUAAGUCCCAUAACGAGCGCAACCCCUACCUUUAGUUGCCAUCAGGUUAAGCUGGGGACUCUAAAGGAACUGCCUACGCAAGUAGUGAGGAAGGCGGGGAUGACGUCAAAUCAGCACGGCCCUUACGUCCAGGGCUACACACGUGCUACAAUGGUCGGUACAAAGGGUUGCCAAGCCGCGAGGUGGAGCUAAUCCCAUAAAACCGAUCGUAGUCCGGAUCGCAGUCUGCAACUCGACUGCGUGAAGUCGGAAUCGCUAGUAAUCGUGAAUCAGAAUGUCACGGUGAAUACGUUCCCGGGCCUU
This 506-nucleotide ribosomal RNA is filed under the name uncultured Sphingobacteriales bacterium. RNAcentral describes it as "bacterial SSU rRNA". It matches the Rfam family "Bacterial small subunit ribosomal RNA", at positions 903 to 1382 of the family's 1533-position model. Lineage: Bacteria; Pseudomonadati; Bacteroidota; Sphingobacteriia; Sphingobacteriales. The record is from RNAcentral.